GAUGAACGCUAGCGGCAGGCCUAAUACAUGCAAGUCGAGGGGUACGGGUUGCUUGCAACCCAGAGACCGGCGCACGGGUGCGUAACGCGUAUGCAAUCUACCUUAAUCAGGGGGAUAGCCCGGAGAAAUCCGGAUUAACACCGCAUAACAUUGAGUUGUGGCAUCACAGUUCAAUCAAAUAUUUAUAGGAUUAAGAUGAGCAUGCGUGACAUUAGUUAGUUGGUGAGGUAACGGCUCACCAAGACCACGAUGUCUAGGGGAUCUGAGAGGAUGACCCCCCACACUGGUACUGAGACACGGACCAGACUCCUACGGGAGGCAGCAGUAAGGAAUAUUGGUCAAUGGGCGCAAGCCUGAACCAGCCAUGCCGCGUGCAGGAAGACGGCCCUAUGGGUUGUAAACUGCUUUUGUACCGGAAUAAACCUUCUCUUGCGAGAGAAGCUGAACGUACGGUAAGAAUAAGGAUCGGCUAACUCCGU
RNAcentral lists this ribosomal RNA (479 nucleotides) under uncultured bacterium. Its description in RNAcentral is "partial 16S ribosomal RNA". It matches the Rfam family "Bacterial small subunit ribosomal RNA", at positions 28 to 506 of the family's 1533-position model. The record is from RNAcentral.